CCCUCCUUUCCGCCCUCUCCGCCCUCCGGGUCUCUGCGCCUGGCGCGGAACUGCGGCCUUUUUGUCCCACGGAGUUGGUCGGCGGAUCCGCUGCUACUUUGUAGUGAGUGGCGGGCAGGGCCUCUACCGCCACUGCAGGAACCCCGACCUGGGCUGACCUUGGGCCCUGGGACGUUGUCUCUGACGUCUCGAAGACAGAGCGAUCUCAGUUCUAAAGUGCAGGAUCUCUGUCUUUGCGCAUCUCCAAAACUUCGACUUUCAACUCUAUGGAACUCCCACUGAUUCCUGAAAGAAGACUCUUCCCUGCCAGAGGAGGCUGCUACAAAGAAUGAGUAACCUGAAUGUCUAUUCCCUUUUUACCUCCAUGGCACUAACCUUCAUACUUACCCUCUUGCCAAACCCAACCUUUCCUAAACCAAAUCUAGCUAAUGUCCGGGAGUGUCCUAAGGCCUGCAUUUCCCAGGGUUACUUUGUGGCCUAUACCCAUGUCCCCAAAGAAUGCUAUGGUUGAGCAACCCUCUGCAAAUGGGUCAGACUAGGUAUUGGACAGGUCAAUCAAAUUUCAAAGCUAGACUAAAUCAAUGUCCCUGGCCAGAUCAAGCCACUCUCAAGACUUACUGCUGGACUUUCCAGACCCACAUGGGAAUGUCGGAUGGGGGUGGGGUGCAGGAUCGGGCCCGCAAAGAACACAUUUUUACUGAGCUGCCCCAAGUACUACCUCCAUAAUAUUUUCUUUCCCACAAGGCGACCCAAUCAGAUGGGGAACGAUACCUAAGGACCCUGUCUUAAUUUAGAUAAUUAAUACUACUCACUAUCUGCUAAAUCUUGCUAAUCCUUCUUUGGCUCAAGGAUGUUGGAUGUGCCUAAAGGCUGGCUUCUCCCAUAUAAUAGCAACUCCUUUAGACCUAAACAACUCAUUGGUAUUCAAUGAGAUCUCCCCAGACUCCGCCGACAUUUCAUCUAAGCUUGUGCUCCAAUGUGUUUUAACUCAUCAAGGAUUACAUCAGGUGGGGACUUGCAGGAUAGUCAGUGUAGACAGAUCAUCCCAUACACAGUGUCUCAAAACUCCCACUCACCAGUCUCCAAGGCUUCCUCCUUGUGCAGGACAAGUAUAUAUCAUUGCCUACCCUCCAGAUGGAAGGGUAUAUGUGCUUUAGUCCUCUUAUUUCCACCUACAGAGGUCAUCUCAGGGCAUGAGGAAGUCCCUCUCUCAUGACUCAUAUGAGCCCUUGACACAAAUGGGCAAUUCAAUUUGUUCCCAUACUAGCCACCCUGGGGGCUACAGCAGGCCUAGCCACAGGAAUAACCUCAUCCAUUACUUAUUAUCAUCAGCUCUGCAGAUCAGCAGAUAGGGGAUAUCCAACAGGAAGCCACGUCUAUACUAACCCUUCAGAAUCAACUGGACUCCUUUGCCGCUGUGGUCCUAUAAAACUGCUGUGGACUGGACAUACUAACAGCAGAACAAGGAGGCCUCUGCCUAUACCUACAAGAGGAAUGUUUUUAGUCAACCAGUCAGGGGUAGUGAAGGACAAGAAGAGCAGGUAGAAAAGAGGAGAGAACAACUAGGCCAACAGUUCCCCUGGGGAAUGCUCAAUCUAGUGUGGCCUUGGCUUCCCCGCCCUGCAGGACUCCUAUUAGUCCUCUAUAUGUUUCUCCUAAUAGGACCAUGCCUGUUAAAUUGCCUACAGAAGUUCAGAUGCAAGAUUAGAUACACAAAUUCACCAACCAGUCAGUCAACUACUUCUCCUCCAAGACUACCCACCCCUGACACCCAAGACGAGAUCUAGAACUCUUUGUCAAGUCCUCAGACUCCAGAGACUCUGCCCCCACCUAAAACCUUCCCUGACCCCUGUUACAGGAAUAAGACUCUUCGCCUCUAAUCAGCAGGAAAAAGCUGCAGAAGAAAGACCUUUAUCCCCACUCCUGGUAUCUGUAAAAAUAAAAAGGGAGGAAUGUUGGCAUCAGAUCUGCCAUUUUAGCUCAGGAGCCAUUUUAUCUAGGAACUCCUAAAUUUUAAUUCUGAGGCAAUGUCGAUCAGCUUCUUGUAAAACAUGUAACUGCUAAAAGGUCAGCCCCACCCCAGCCCAUGUUGCAACCCCUAAGCGUGCAUGUGAAAUUCCUCUUGCAGCCUAUAAAGCCCUCUGAGUGCUGACACUGCUGCUCUCUGUGGAGGGACAGUCUUGCUGGUUUGCUCUGAGACUGACAAUAAAUUUCGUGUGAGAUUUGGUGUGAA
Long non-coding RNA from Marmota flaviventris (yellow-bellied marmot), 2233 nucleotides. RefSeq lists it as uncharacterized. Lineage: Eukaryota; Metazoa; Chordata; Mammalia; Rodentia; Sciuridae. The record is from RefSeq and is a predicted model, not a curated record.